This 478-nucleotide ribosomal RNA is filed under the name Nitzschia sp. RCC5391. RNAcentral's name for it is "SSU rRNA". It matches the Rfam family "Eukaryotic small subunit ribosomal RNA", at positions 626 to 1109 of the family's 1831-position model. Lineage: Eukaryota; Bacillariophyta; Bacillariophyceae; Bacillariales; Bacillariaceae. The record is from RNAcentral.
GCUCGUAGUUGGAUUUGUGGCUGUCGCGUGCGGCCUGACACUUUGUGUUAGUGUUUGCUUGCGUCGCCAUCCUUGGGUGGAACCUGUGUGGCAUUAGGUUGUCGUGCAGGGGAUGCCCAUCGUUUACUGUGAAAAAAUUAGAGUGUUCAAAGCAGGCUUAUGCCGUUGAAUAUAUUAGCAUGGAAUAAUAAGAUAGGACCUUGGUACUAUUUUGUUGGUUUGCGCACCAAGGUAAUGAUUAAUAGGGACAGUUGGGGGUAUUCGUAUUCCAUUGUCAGAGGUGAAAUUCUUGGAUUUUUGGAAGACGAACUACUGCGAAAGCAUUUACCAAGGAUGUUUUCAUUAAUCAAGAACGAAAGUUAGGGGAUCGAAGAUGAUUAGAUACCAUCGUAGUCUUAACCAUAAACUAUGCCGACAAGGGAUUGGCGGAGUCUCGUUUUGUCUCCGUCAGCACCUUAUGAGAAAUCACAAGUCUUUG